RNAcentral lists this ribosomal RNA (992 nucleotides) under uncultured bacterium. RNAcentral describes it as "bacterial SSU rRNA". It matches the Rfam family "Bacterial small subunit ribosomal RNA", at positions 8 to 1036 of the family's 1533-position model. The record is from RNAcentral.
AGAGUUUGAUCAUGGCUCAGAACGAACGCUGGCGGCAGGCCUAACACAUGCAAGUCGAACGCCGUAGCAAUACGGAGUGGCAGACGGGUGAGUAACACGUGGGAACACGCCCUUCGGUUCGGAAUAACUCAGGGAAACUUGAGCUAAUACCGGAUACGUCCAAGGCAACUUGGAGAAAGAUUUAUCGCCGAUGGAUUGGCCCGCGUCUGAUUAGCUAGUUGGUGGGGUAACGGCUCACCAAGGCGACGAUCAGUAGCUGGUCUGGGAGGAUGAUCAGCCACAUUGGGACUGAGACACGGCCCAAACUCCUACGGGAGGCAGCAGUGGGGAAUAUUGGACAAUGGGCGCAAGCCUGAUCCAGCCAUGCCGCGUGAGUGAUGAAGGCCCUAGGGUUGUAAAGCUCUUUUACCCGGGAAGAUAAUGACGGUACCGGGAGAAUAAGCCCCGGCUAACUUCGUGCCAGCAGCCGCGGUAAUACGAAGGGGGCUAGCGUUGUUCGGAAUCACUGGGCGUAAAGCGCAUGUAGGCGGAUUCUUAAGUCAGGGGUGAAAUCCCGAGGCUCAACCUCGGAACUGCCUUUGAUACUGGGGAUCUUGAGUCCGGGAGAGGUGAGUGGAAUUGCGAGUGUAGAGGUGAAAUUCGUAGAUAUUCGCAAGAACACCAGUGGCGAAGGCGGCUCACUGGCCCGGUACUGACGCUGAGGUGCGAAAGCGUGGGGAGCAAACAGGAUUAGAUACCCUGGUAGUCCACGCCGUAAACGAUGGAUGCUAGCCGUCAGGCAGCUUGCUGUUUGGUGGCGCAGUUAACGCGUUAAGCAUCCCGCCUGGGGAGUACGGUCGCAAGAUUAAAACUCAAAGGAAUUGACGGGGGCCCGCGCAAGCGGUGGAGCAUGUGGUUCAAUUCGAAGCAACGCGCAGAACCUUACCAGCCCUUGACAUGUCUCGUAUGGUGGCCGGAGACGGCUUCCUUCAGUUCGGCUGGCGAGAAACACA